CGCCAGACUCCUACGGGAGGCAGCAGUGGGGAAUAUUGCACAAUGGGGGAAACCCUGAUGCAGCGACGCCGCGUGAGCGAUGAAGUAUUUCGGUAUGUAAAGCUCUAUCAGCAGGGAAGAAAAUGACGGUACCUGACUAAGAAGCCCCGGCUAACUACGUGCCAGCAGCCGCGGUAAUACGUAGGGGGCAAGCGUUAUCCGGAUUUACUGGGUGUAAAGGGAGCGUAGACGGCUGUGCAAGCCAGAUGUGAAAGCCCGGGGCUCAACCCCGGGACUGCAUUUGGAACUGUGUAGCUGGAGUGUCGGAGAGGCAGGCGGAAUUCCUAGUGUAGCGGUGAAAUGCGUAGAUAUUAGGAGGAACACCAGUGGCGAAGGCGGCCUGCUGGACGAUGACUGACGUUGAGGCUCGAAAGCAUGGGUAGCGAACAGGAUUAGAUACCCGAGUAGG
RNAcentral lists this ribosomal RNA (448 nucleotides) under uncultured bacterium. RNAcentral's name for it is "bacterial SSU rRNA". It matches the Rfam family "Bacterial small subunit ribosomal RNA", at positions 329 to 794 of the family's 1533-position model. The record is from RNAcentral.